Amphibalanus amphitrite is the source of this 1513-nucleotide long non-coding RNA. RefSeq lists it as uncharacterized. Lineage: Eukaryota; Metazoa; Arthropoda; Thecostraca; Balanomorpha; Balanidae. The record is from RefSeq and is a predicted model, not a curated record. The transcript has 2 exons.
CAUCAAGGGGAGUAUAAGUUCGGUUUUAUAUCAAUGUUAUAUUGAUUGACGAGGAUGUUUUUCCUUUCGGGUUUUUUAUGUUUAUUUUUACUGGUUUGUUGUUUGUUAGUUGUUUGUUUUUAUUUUCGGCAUGAGGUUUGGUUAUUUUUGUGCUUAUGUUAUGCUAUCGAGGUAAGAAAGGGGUCGAUGAGCAAUGGGUCGGCAAAUGCCUGGUAUUAUAGGUUCUUUGAAGGUUGGAUAAAAGAAUGAAAAAUGGACUGCUGGUAGAAAUUUGCUUGGUGGCGUUUUUCAGUUUUUGGGAGAUUGGGUGUAGGUUCUUGCUAUGUGUAACAUAGCUGAAUUUUUUUUUUCUUCCCUGGAACGGAACGCCGGACUUUGCCAUCCUACACUCCGUGUGAGUGAAAUCAGCUCAUGCUUCUCGGUACGGUGUAGCAGCUCAGAGUGCACGGCCUGGCCGGCGUGGGGUUUUGGUGGCCACGUGGUGUUGGCCGGUGGUUGGAGUUGGCAGAAUUGCCGUUUGGUGGUGCCUGGUGUUGGUUGAACUGUGGUUCCCAUACACGUGAACGGUUACAGGCGUAAGGUGUGCCAGGUGGGCGUACCCCGUGGAGAAUGAGCUGCUGGUGAUGUUUGGCUCUGUCCGAGCGUGUCCGAGCGGGGUUUUCAUUAGUGGGUUAGGGAUUGUUGAUAAUAAGGGUACCAACUACCAGGUGAGACUUGAGAGGGUAAAUGGAGUUCAUGCUAAUGAUACCCAAUGCAAUGGUAUUGGUCUAAAAUGGUAUUGUUACCUGGUUAGGUUGGAGUGAAAGGUUAAGUGGGUGAUAUAGGUACGGAGGUGCAGAGGUGAUAGUGGAAACCACUUGUGUGGUAAGUCUCGGGAGUCGGGACUAGGAUAUUUUAGAUUAGAUGGGAAAUUAUGUUAGGUAGUUUGGUUGCACUGGCGAUAAUAUAGUAAGUUACAGGAUAGUACCCAAAGGAAGUUUUCACCCUCAUAUUUAAAGACUGCAUUAGGUAUGCCAUUUUCUAUAACGAUGCAGUUUUAUGGUAGCCCCUGAUUGUUUUGCUCUCACUCUACAUUGAGGUGCGAGUUAACUGUUUUCAGUUUUUUUAUGGUAGUGGCGUUUGUGAAUCGUUUUUUUUUUUUGCCAGAGUAAGGUGCCUUUUUGUCGUGGUCAAUAAAUAGAGCAUUGCCUAGGCAUGCAUAAGCGACAUCAAUCAUCAUGGUAAUGUUGGUAUGCAAUAUGCAUAUCCUGCCGAUGUGUCAUCGCGCGCAUUGUCAGAUAAAUGGCUCCAGUAUGUAUAACCCCUCUUGAUACCCCCCUUUGAUACGAGCUUUCGGCUAAAAAUGGUUAUGUGACACAAUCCGUUUUUUUUCUUCCAUGGCUCGGUGGGUGGUUGGCAUCCGACUCUGAACGGCGACGGAUCGGCACACUCGGCGGGGCCGGCCCGCUGGGCCAGAGUCUUCUCUGGCCGCUGGAGGAUUUCUUCACAGCUCCCACGUCAGCUGAGGGAGUUC